GACGAACGCUGGCGGCGUGCUUAACACAUGCAAGUCGAACGGACAGGCCCUGCUUUUGUGGGGUGCUCGAGUGGCGAACGGGUGAGUAACACGUGAGUAACCUGCCCUUGACUUUGGGAUAACUUCAGGAAACUGGGGCUAAUACCGGAUAGGAGCUCCUGCUGCAUGGUGGGGGUUGGAAAGUUUCGGCGGUUGGGGAUGGACUCGCGGCUUAUCAGCUUGUUGGUGGGGUAGUGGCUUACCAAGGCUUUGACGGGUAGCCGGCCUGAGAGGGUGACCGGCCACAUGGGGACUGAGAUACGGCCCAGACUCCUACGGGAGGCAGUAGUGGGGAAUAUGGCACAAUGGGCGGAAGCCUGAUGCAGCAACGCCGCGUGCGGGAUGACGGCCUUCGGGUUGUAAACCGCUUUCGCCUGUGACGAAGCGUGAGUGACGGUAAUGGGUAAAGAAGCACCGGCUAACUACGUG
This 468-nucleotide ribosomal RNA is filed under the name uncultured bacterium. RNAcentral describes it as "partial 16S ribosomal RNA". It matches the Rfam family "Bacterial small subunit ribosomal RNA", at positions 28 to 507 of the family's 1533-position model. The record is from RNAcentral.